Mytilus californianus (California mussel) is the source of this 1555-nucleotide long non-coding RNA. RefSeq lists it as uncharacterized. Lineage: Eukaryota; Metazoa; Mollusca; Bivalvia; Mytilida; Mytilidae. The record is from RefSeq and is a predicted model, not a curated record. The transcript is spliced from 2 exons.
GAAAAUUGUCCAAAUUUGAAUUGCAAAGUUUAGGCUUAAUCGAUAGCUCUAAAAUAAUGAAUUUACGGUUAAAGUGUUUAAAUUAUGGAUCUUCUACUUUGUGCCGAGCACCUGGAAGUCGAAUAUUUCAGAUACCAGAGGAUAUUCUACACUUUUUUCUUGAAUGCCAAUUUACUGUUACUGAUAUAGCAAAGCUCCUAUCAGCUUCUGAGAGUACAGUUUAUAGGAGAAUGCGGCAAUGUAAUUUAACUAAAAAGAACGUCUCAAACAUUUCGGAUGAAGAUUUAGAUUCCUUAAUACAGGAGAUAGUUCAGGAAUUUCCCCGCUGCGGCGAAAACAUGAUAAAAGAAUUGUUAAUGCAAAAAACAGCUAUACAGGUGACUAGAAUGCGUUUAAGAGAGAGCUUACAUCGGCUGGAUAACAUUGGAAUAUAAGAUAGAAAGAAGAGAAGGUUGCAUAGAGGUAUAUACAACGUUGAUGGUGUAAAUCAUAUGUGGCAUAUUGACACAAACCACAAGCUUAUCCGAUGGAAUUUUAUUGUGUUAGGGGGAAUUGAUGGCUUUAGUAGAUUUAUAACCUUUCUCAAUUGCAGGGACAACAAUAAAGCUGUUACAUUACUGGAUUCCUUCAAAAAUGGUGUAGCAAAAUUACGGAAUGCCUUUACGUGUUCGAUCCGAUAAGGGCCUUGAAAACUGCCUAGUUGCUGAUUACAUGAUCAAAGAUCGAGGUCCUAACCGUGGUAGCAUGAUAACAGGGAAAAGCUGUCACAAUCAGAGGAUAGAAAGGUUGUGGAGGGAUGUUUUUGAAGGUGUAUUGUGCUUUUAUUAUGAUCUUUUUCAUUUCAUGGAGGAAGAAGGCUUUCUUGACAAUUCACUUAGCGACCACAUGUUCGCUCUACAUCAUGUAUAUAUAUGCAAAAAAUCACGCGAUGAAAAAUUGAGCAUAUGGGCACGGGCGUGGGGAAAACACCGCCUUCGUACUGCAAAAUCGUCUCCUCUUUGAUUAUUUACUGCAGGUAUGAUUAAUAAUCCACCCGAUUUUGAAAUUUUUGACAUCGAAAAUUACGGUACAGAGGGAAAUUAUGAAGAUACUUUAAAUGACUAUACUGGCAUAGAUGAUCCCAGGCCUACACUCGAUUCACAGGCGUUUGUUGUAAAUGAAACAUGCCAAGAACAACUAAACUUGUAUUGUCCAAAAAAAUGGAGCUCUGUAUAUCAUGGAAUCGACGUAUAUCUACAAGCAUUACAUAUUAUCGAGAGGAAUUCCGGAAUUAUUGAGUGAUUAUAAACGAGUUAACCUUUUUCAGUGUAGGACAUAUGUAUAUCAUCUUCUCAUUUUUCUUAAGUGUUUGGCAAUACACUUUCAGACAGAUUGUGAAAUUGAAAGAGUUAGAUAAAACCAAACUGGUUAAGCAUUAUGUUGUUGAGAAAUAAGAAUAUAAAAAAAAUGCUGUUACAGUUUACUAUUUCAAAGAUGAUGACUUCCGAGAUUGUUUUAUUCCUUUUAUGUAAUUUGUACAUGUCAUUUUAUGCUUUAAAUACAAAUGUUUAUCGAA